Molecule: ribosomal RNA, 305 nt
Filed under: uncultured bacterium
Lineage: Bacteria
Description: bacterial SSU rRNA
Rfam family: Bacterial small subunit ribosomal RNA
Source: RNAcentral
CCUACGGGGCGCAGCAGUGGGGAAUAUUGCACAAUGGGGGAAACCCUGAUGCAGCGACGCCGCGUGAGUGAGGAAGUAUUUCGGUAUGUAAAGCUCUAUCAGCAGGGAAGAAAAUGACGGUACCUGACUAAGAAGCCCCGGCUAACUACGUGCCAGCAGCCGCGGUAAUACGUAGGGGGCGAGCGUUAUCCGGAUUCACUGGGUGUAAAGGGAGCGUAGACGGCCAUGCAAGCCAGGGGUGAAAGCCCGGGGCCCAACCCCGGGACUGCUUUUGAAACUGUGUUGCUAGAUUGCAGGAGAGGUAA